Molecule: long non-coding RNA, 694 nt
Filed under: Bos taurus (domestic cattle)
Lineage: Eukaryota; Metazoa; Chordata; Mammalia; Artiodactyla; Bovidae
Description: long non-coding RNA NONBTAT013970
Source: RNAcentral
GGGACAGUAGCUAAAUGCAAGGUGUCACUGAGCAGUCAGAGGCCCUCCAGAAGCGUGGGGCUGGUCCUGUGUUGUCAGGCAGGGUCAGCCCAGCUCAGAAGGACUGAUUGCUCCACGGGGUAGGGUAGGUGGCACAUAGAGAAGGCAGCCCUCCCUCUCAAAUACUUCUUUGCUCUCUAGAACACACAGACAUGAGCCUCCAGCCCUCCCUCCCUGCUGUUGACUGACGGUCACAGUGCUGCCCUGGUCUGACCAGUGUGCUUGGCAGGGGCCGCCUGGUGGGAACAGGACCUGAGAACCUGGCAAGCCUCGGUCCUUUAAUCUCAUCUGCAUCACAACCUGGGGCCUUGGAACGGGGCUCUGAUGCUGUCAGCACAGUGAGCAGUGACUAAUUAAGACACGACUGCAUUAGUCACGUUGGAGGUGACAACUGAGCAGCAUGUUUUGGGUUCAUGUCUGAGAGAUCCUGACACACUUUUCAAUUAUGUGGAACUAAUAGUGUGUGGCCUCCACGCAGCCGUGUCGGGCGGGGGAGAAGGAGAGUCUGCGAUGAAAGUGUGACUCAGUACAGCUCCUCACUCACUUCUCUGCACUCCCUUCUGAAAAUCACAAUAGGUCACACCAGGGAGCGUGGCACUUGGGGUCCAGAGGGCUUCUUUCAGAAGGAGAGUUAUGAGACAACUCUGGGUGACAC